AGCCAGCGGGGAAAGAGGAGGAGAGGAGAGGAGAAGAGAUGUAAAGAGAAAAGAGGAGAGAAGAGAGGUAAAAAGAGUGGAGGAAAGAGAACAGAGCUGAAGAGAGUAGAAGCAAGACAAGAAGAAAAUAGGAGAAGAGGUCACCCCAGUUAAUAUCCUAUUUACAGCGGGCAUCUGUCAGCCUCCCUUUAUGGGUCAUGCCCCUCUCCCAAACUGAGACGCACCGCGCUGCUCCUCUACCCAUCAGCCCAUACAAAUGCUGACCCAACGACCCUGCUGAGGACACACUCUGACCUGGCCACAGCUGGAUCCGCCAGAAGUUCCCUUCUUCAUCAGAAAGAACUCCUCUGCAAGUAAGUCCUUCAGGUCAUAGAGAACUGCAGUCAACGAGUUCAUCAACAAUUCUCACAGAUUGUGGGCGUGGUUAAACCCUGUCGCGCUCCACAGAGAAAGCAGGAAUGAUAUUGGUACCGCUAUGGAGUGACUGUGUCGGAUGCAUAUGUUUUUUAAAGUUGAG
RNAcentral lists this long non-coding RNA (517 nucleotides) under Salmo salar (Atlantic salmon). RNAcentral describes it as "lncRNA (ENSSSAG00000104750.1, ENSSSAG00075067574.1)". The record is from RNAcentral. Lineage: Eukaryota; Metazoa; Chordata; Actinopteri; Salmoniformes; Salmonidae.